AAUAAAUUUACCUAGAAAAUAUUUGUUCCUAGAUAAAUUAGAAUCUUAUUAUUACAAAAGUAAGUAUCAUCUAUUUCUAUAAUGAAUAUUAAAAUUACGUUUCAGGGAUAAAAUAUUACUGUGGUUCAAGUCAGACAAACCAAGUCAAAAGUUUACUGGAGUCUUAAACUGUACUGGGUGCGUAACCAAAACUAUACCCUCCAUGAUGUGGCUGGGACUCAUUCAAUAAGGUGAAUGCCUAAACAGAACAAAACUUGGAGUCCUCUCUCAAGUAGAAAGGAAUUCUGCCAGUUUCCAAGUAUGUUUAGUCCAGCUACACAUUUUGGAACUGGCAGAAUAAUGACAGAUUGGUUUUAGAGAUCCACUAGGCCCAUUGUGAAAGGGCUUAGAACUCUACUGAUCAGAUGACCUUCAAUGAACCAAUAUUUUGACUAUGGGCUUUUUAAAAAACAUUUUUAAAAAAUUGUUUUCCAAAGUAUGCUACUAAUAACAUGAGAAGUGUAAGCCCCAAACUGGGAGAAUACACUUGUAACACAUAUCAGAAAAUGGAUAUGUGCCAUUAUCAUACAAAGAAAUUUUAUAAGUCAAUACUAAAAGACUAACACUCCAAUUUGAAAGACUAAAAUAAAAAUUUGAAUAAAAAUAUAUACAAAUUGUCCAUUAGUCCUUGAGAAGUUGUUCACUUGGAAAAUGCAAAUUGAAAUCAUAAUGAGUUAUAAGUAUGCACGAAUUAAAAUGGCUAAACUGAAAAACUAGUUCUAGCAAUUAUUAGAAAAGAUAUAGAGCAAGUGCCAAGGGCAAUACACAAUUGAAGAACUUUGGAAGACAGUUAAUUUUUUUUUUAUUCAACUAGGUAUUUACAUAUGCAAUAAAGAAUAAAAUAGAAACUUGCUUGUACUAAGAUUCAUAUGGGGAUAUUCAUAGAAACUUUGUGUGUAAUAGCUCAAACUGAAUAUUUAUUAUAAAGUGAAAGAUUUAUUAACAGGAGAAUGCUUUAUCAAAUUGGGUUAUAUCCACACAAUGACAUGGUAUUCAGAAACAAAAUGAACUAUUAAUUUACACACAAAAAUAAAUUUUAUGAGUAUUAUAAUAUAUAAAAGAGGCCAGAAUAAAUGUAUUUCAUUUACAUAAAAUUUUUAAAAAGGCAAACUAACCUCUAAGGUCAGAAAGGUCAGUGGUUGUCCAUGGAAAGAGUACAAAGAGGGAGCACUACAAAGAAUCACUGAGGAACUUUGUCAAAGAUCAAAUAUUCAUUAUGUUGAUUGUGCUUCUAAUUUUGUGAGUGUAUACAUAUGUUUAAACCUUGUCAUCAAAUUCUACAAUUUAAAUAUAUAUAGUUUAUUGUGUUAUAAAUACAUCUUACUAAAGUUCUAGUAAAACCUCUUAGUUAAAGACAUUAAUAACUGGCCCAAGGAGUCACUCUACUUAGAUAUUGUAAGUAUGACAGAAGGUGAGAUAUUGAUCUGUUCUCCACCUGAAGUUGUUGAAAGGGAUUCCACCAGAGCCUGAAUGAGUAUUGUUUAGUGAAACUGUUAUCCACAUACUGUUAUUACUACAAGACGUUGAAAGUGGAGAUAAUACUUUUCUGAGACAAAAUACCAGCCCAAGAAGAAGCACAGAAUGAGGACAGAGAUAUCAUCAUAAAGAUUUGGCAAAGGGAAUAUUUUUAUAAAAAUUUUAUCAAAGUAUGUUUCCUAUAAAAUAUUCAAAAUUGCAUGUAUACAGCUUAAGUUUCUACAUAAAGUAAAUAAAAGUUGUUGUAAUUUGUCACCCCAAAACGGUAUAAAUACAGGAAGUUCGAAGGUACUAGAGCAAUAGCUUGUCUUCUCCCUUUUGGUUACUGCUUCACCAUGUGUAAUCUGCCAUCUGGAUUCAAUAUCAGAGAUUAGCUCUGCCUGUUUUUCUUUUUUAAGUUGAAUAAAUGGAAGGAUAACAGUAUGUAUAUUAUGUCAGGCUUCGUUUAUUUAACAUUAUAUUUCUAAGAGUCAUAUGCUUUCAAUUAUCUUCAUAGUUCUGUCUUCACCACUAUAUGGACAUUCC
Molecule: long non-coding RNA, 2040 nt
Filed under: Marmota monax (woodchuck)
Lineage: Eukaryota; Metazoa; Chordata; Mammalia; Rodentia; Sciuridae
Source: RNAcentral